GGCUGGAUAGCUCAGUUGGUAAGAGCCCCGGAACAGCAAUCCGGAGGUCGCAGGUUCAAACCCCGCUCCAGUCA
RNAcentral lists this transfer RNA (74 nucleotides) under Patiria miniata (bat star). RNAcentral's name for it is "tRNA-Ala". It matches the Rfam family "tRNA". From Rfam's summary of the family: Transfer RNA (tRNA) molecules are approximately 80 nucleotides in length. Lineage: Eukaryota; Metazoa; Echinodermata; Asteroidea; Valvatida; Asterinidae. The record is from Rfam by way of RNAcentral.